UUAUGGGAUUGAUUGUUUACGCGCUUGUGGACUUGGACCUGGAAUGGCUUUUGCUAAUGAGAUACUUAUAAAAGAUCCUGAAUUUGGUGUUAUAGGUGUAGUACCUUGUGCUAAAGGAGGGACACCAUGGAGACGUGGAUAUAUAAAAGAACCUGACUUUGGUGUUAUAGGUCUAGUACCUUGUGCUAAAGGAGGGACACCAUUACAUAAAUGGAGACGUGGAUCUAGCCCUUAUGAUGCUUUGAUUAGAAGAGCAAAAUAUGCUGUCAAAAAUGGAGGAAAUAUUUGG
RNAcentral lists this long non-coding RNA (289 nucleotides) under Nicotiana benthamiana. Its description in RNAcentral is "long non-coding RNA (NBEN_LNC007148)". The record is from RNAcentral. Lineage: Eukaryota; Viridiplantae; Streptophyta; Magnoliopsida; Solanales; Solanaceae.